CCCUGGCUCCGCCACUGCUAAAGGGAUCCUUCAUCAAAGAUCUUGUGUUGAAUCCCCUCAACAAAAUGGAAUUGUUGAGAGGAAACAUCAACACAUUCUUAAUGUUGCUAGAUCCCUUUCUUUUCAAGCUUCUUUACCUACUAAUUUUUGGCAUUUUUCUAUUUAACAUGUUGUUCAUCUAAUAAAUAGGAUACCUACUCCUCUUCUUAAAAAUACUACUCCUUAUAAUCUUCUUUUUCAACAACCUCCUAUUUUUCUGCAUUUAAAAUCUUUGCCCCCUGGUAUUAAAAUCUCUAAUUCCGAUACUAGAACAACCAAGGUAUGUGAGCUUCAAAAAUCUAUAUAUGGCCUCAAGCAGGCAAGUAGACAAUGGUAUUCUAAGUUAUCUGAAUCUCUCAUUUCCUUUGGUUAUCUACAAUCCUCUUCUGAUUUUUCCCUUUUUACAAAAUUUAAAGAUUCUUCAUUUACUACAUUGUUAGUAUAUGUUGAUGACAUUGUUUUAGCUGGAAAUGAUAUAUCUGAAAUCCAACAUGUUAAAUGUUUUCUUAUUGAUCGUUUUAAAAUCAAAGACCUUGGUUCCUUACGAUAUUUUCUAGGUCUUGAGGUUGCUAGAAGCAAACAAGGCAUUUUACUUAAUCAAAGAAAAUAUACUCUUGAACUUUUAGAGGAUAGUGGUAAUCUUGCUGUAAAAUCCACUCUUACUCCUUAUGAUAUUUCUUUAAAACUCCACAAUUCUGAUUCGCCCCUUUACAAUGAUGAAACUCAAUAUAGAAGACUCAUAGGCAAACUUAUUUAUUUAACUACUACUCGUCCUGAUAUAUCCUUUGCUGUUCAACAAUUAAGCCAAUUUGUUUCGAAACCUCAGCAAGUUCACUAUCAGGCUGCUAUUAGAGUUUUACAAUAUCUGAAAACUGCCCCUGCCAAAGGAUUAUUCUACUCAGCAACUUCUAAUUUGAAACUUUCUAGUUUUGCAGAUUCUGAUUGGGCAACUUGUCCUACAACCAGGAAAUCUGUAACGGGUUAUUGUGUGUUUCUUGGAUCUUCUCUCAUUUCAUGGAAAUCCAAGAAGCAGUCGAUCGUCUCCAAAUCAAGCUCAGAAGCUGAAUAUCGCGCAUUAGCAAGCCUUACAUGUGAACUGCAAUGGCUAAUGUACCUCUUUAAAGAUCUGCACCUCUCUUUCUCUUCUCCUGCUUCUGUUUUCUGCGACAAUAAAUCAGCCAUCUACCUCGCACAUAACCCCAGUUUCCAUGAACGUACUAAACACAUUGAAAUAGAUUGUCACAUCAUUAGAGAGAAGAUUCAAAAUGGUCUGCUGCGACUAUUUCCCAUACCUUCUGCUGCGCAAACAGCCGACGUACUUACAAAACCUUUACACAGUCCCUCGUUCCUUACUUUCAUAUCCAAGCUUGGCCUUGAUGACAUUCACAGUCCAGCUUGUGGGGGAGUAUUACCUACUGAUAUUACUUGACCAAAUGUGUAAUUAAUUGUAAUUGAUUGUUACUUGGUCAAAUUAAUUUAAUAUGUAAUUAAUUGUAGUUAUUGUGAUGAGCUAAUCUGUAUUGUUACUAACGGCUCUAUAGUUAGACUAUAUAAAGAGAAGGUGUUCUCCUUCUCUAU
This 1617-nucleotide long non-coding RNA is filed under the name Medicago truncatula (barrel medic). RNAcentral describes it as "long non-coding RNA (MTRU_LNC007532)". The record is from RNAcentral. Lineage: Eukaryota; Viridiplantae; Streptophyta; Magnoliopsida; Fabales; Fabaceae.